GUGUGAUUCGUCACACUAUCAUUAACUGAAUCCAUAGGUUAAUGAGGCGAACCGGGGGAACUGAAACAUCUAAGUACCCCGAGGAAAAGAAAUCAACCGAGAUUCCCCCAGUAGCGGCGAGCGAACGGGGAGGAGCCCAGAGCCUGAAUCAGCAUGUGUGUUAGUGGAAGCGUCUGGAAAGGCGCGCGAUACAGGGUGACAGCCCCGUACACAAAAGCGCAUGUGCUGUGAGCUCGAUGAGUAGGGCGGGACACGUGGUAUCCUGUCUGAAUAUGGGGGGACCAUCCUCCAAGGCUAAAUACUCCUGACUGACCGAUAGUGAACCAGUACCGUGAGGGAAAGGCGAAAAGAACCCCGGCGAGGGGAGUGAAAAAGAACCUGAAACCGU
RNAcentral lists this ribosomal RNA (388 nucleotides) under Salmonella enterica. RNAcentral describes it as "partial 23S ribosomal RNA". It matches the Rfam family "Bacterial large subunit ribosomal RNA", at positions 131 to 559 of the family's 2925-position model. Lineage: Bacteria; Pseudomonadati; Pseudomonadota; Gammaproteobacteria; Enterobacterales; Enterobacteriaceae. The record is from RNAcentral. RNAcentral also lists the same sequence under 3 other names.